GAUGAACGCUGGCGGCGUGCCUAAUACAUGCAAGUCGAGCGAACGGACGAGAAGCUUGCUUCUCUGAUGUUAGCGGCGGACGGGUGAGUAACACGUGGCUAACCUACCUAUAAGACUGGGAUAACUUCGGGAAACCGGAGCUAAUACCGGAUGAUAUUUUGAACCGCAUGGUUCAAAAGUGAAAGACGGUCUUGCUGUCACUUAUAGAUGGAUCCGCGCUGCAUUAGCUAGUUGGUAAGGUAACGGCUUACCAAGGCAACGAUGCAUAGCCGACCUGAGCGGGUGAUCGGCCAGACUGGAACUGAGACACGGUCCAGACUCCUACGGGAGGCAGCAGUAGGGAAUCUUCCGCAAUGGGCGAAAGCCUGACGGAGCAACGCCGCGUAAGUGAUGAAGGUCUUCGGAUCGUAAAACUCUGUUAUUAGGGAAGAACAUAUGUGUAAGUAACUGUGCACAUCUUGACGGUACCUAAUCAGAAAGCCACGGCUAACUACGUG
This 497-nucleotide ribosomal RNA is filed under the name uncultured bacterium. RNAcentral's name for it is "partial 16S ribosomal RNA". It matches the Rfam family "Bacterial small subunit ribosomal RNA", at positions 28 to 507 of the family's 1533-position model. The record is from RNAcentral.